UGGGGAAUCUUGCACAAUGGGGGAAACCCUGAUGCAGCGACGCCGCGUGAACGAUGAAGCCCUUCGGGGUGUAAAGUUCUUUCGACAGGAACGAUAAUGACAGUACCUGGAGAAGAAGCUUCGGCUAACUACGUGCCAGCAGCCGCGGUAAUACGGAGGCAGCGAGCGUUGUUCGGAGUUACUGGGCGUAAAGAGUGCGUAGGCGGCGAGCCAAGUUUGGUGUGAAAUCUCCCGGCUUAACCGGGAGGGUGCGCCGAAAACUGGUUGGCUGGAGUAUGGGAGAGGAAGGCGGAAUUCCUGGUGUAGCGGUGAAAUGCGUAGAUAUCAGGAGGAACACCUGCGGUGUAGACAGCUUUCUGGACCAAAACGGACGCUGAGGCACGAAAGCGUGGGUAGCAAAC
Molecule: ribosomal RNA, 401 nt
Filed under: uncultured bacterium
Lineage: Bacteria
Description: bacterial SSU rRNA
Rfam family: Bacterial small subunit ribosomal RNA
Source: RNAcentral